GACAGAGGUGGCAAGCGUUGUUCGGAUUUACUGGGCGUAAAGAGCGCGUAGGCGGCCAACUAAGUCAGACGUGAAAUCCCUCGGCUUAACCGGGGAACUGCGUCUGAUACUGGAUGGCUUGAGUUCGGGAGAGGGAUGCGGAAUUCCAGGUGUAGCGGUGAAAUGCGUAGAUAUCUGGAGGAACACCAAUGGCGAAGGCAGCUCGCUGGGACGGUACUGACGCUGAGACGCGAAAGCGUGGGGAGCAAACAGG
RNAcentral lists this ribosomal RNA (253 nucleotides) under uncultured bacterium. Its description in RNAcentral is "partial 16S ribosomal RNA". It matches the Rfam family "Bacterial small subunit ribosomal RNA", at positions 524 to 776 of the family's 1533-position model. The record is from RNAcentral.